RNAcentral lists this ribosomal RNA (207 nucleotides) under uncultured bacterium. Its description in RNAcentral is "partial 16S ribosomal RNA". It matches the Rfam family "Bacterial small subunit ribosomal RNA", at positions 568 to 774 of the family's 1533-position model. The record is from RNAcentral.
UCCGUAGGCGGUGUGGCAAGUCGGGAGUGAAAUCUCUGGGCUUAACCCAGAGGCUGCUUCCGAAACUGCCGUGCUAGAGUGUGAGAGAGGCGAGUGGAAUUGCGGGUGUAGCGGUGAAAUGCGUAGAUAUCCGCAGGAACAUCCGAGGCGAAAGCGGCUCGCUGGAUCACAACUGACGCUGAGGGACGAAAGCUAGGGGAGCAAACA